Molecule: long non-coding RNA, 3225 nt
Filed under: Equus caballus (horse)
Lineage: Eukaryota; Metazoa; Chordata; Mammalia; Perissodactyla; Equidae
Description: lncRNA (ENSECAG00000050517.1)
Source: RNAcentral
AUUGCUUCAGACUCUUAAAAAAGGACAGUCCAGAUUUGCUUUUUCAUCCUGUAUGCCUUUUUCCUCUCUUGCUGCAGAGCUGGGUCAACAGGAAGCUCUAAAGCAGGGGAUGAGGCCAUGGACGUCCCUGAAAAUGUGCCUCCUCUCUCUGCAGAGAUCAGGAUCAUCCUGGUCUCAGCUCAGCACCUGGAGUGAAGAGUACUCCCAGCAGAGCCAGAGCGGUGAGCCCACCCCGUUGCCCACUUCUGCGUGUCCACCCAGACUUAAGCUGAUGGAAUAUUAUUCAGCACUGAAAAAGAAAUAAGCUAUCAAGCCAUGAACAGACCUGGAGGAAACUUAAAUGAAUACUGCUUAGUGAAAGAAGCCAAUCUGAAAAGGCUACAUACCGUGUGAUUCCAACUAUAUGACAUUCUGGAAAAGGCCACACUAUGGAGACGAAUGGACCACAGCAAGAGUGAACCCUAAUGUGAACUCUGGACUUUGGAUGAUAAUGAUGUGUCAAUGCAGGUUCACCCUUGGUAACAAAUGUACCAGCUGGUUCCCCGCUUGAGGAGUGAAACCGCAGUGAACUCUCUCUGUUCUGGUUUGUGGAGGGGAAGAACAAUUUGAGCUGAUCUUAUGAUACGCAGACUCCACAUUUAGUCAUCCACUGUUUCACUGAUGGAUAUGCAGAUCGCCUUCAACAAUCCGAUCCACGAAUACACUGCCGUGAAUUCAUUUAUUUAACAAAUAUUUAUAUGAGCAACUGCUAUGUUCUAGGUGUGGUUCUAGGUGCUUAGGAUGUAUCCGAAAACAAAACAGGAUCACUGGCUGACACGUUGGGAAAAGACUGCGUGAAAGGCAAGAUUAAAAGCAGGGAUUCUGGUUAGAAAGCUUUUGUGAUAAAAGAGCAACAGACGAUGAUAGAUGAGGCCAGAACGGAAGUGGUAAAGAUGGUGAGAGAUGGUCAGAUUUGGGACAAAUUUUAAAUUUAAAACUGAUAAAAUUUCUCAAAGUUCUGCUUCUACUUAGGAUGCAAAAAAACCACAAGAAUACAUUGCUCCCAUACUAACAAUGAGAAAAAUCUGGAUAAUCUAUAAAAUCGUCAUUUUUCUUAAGUCCAUCAGAGAACUGACGUCUCAAGGCAACCAAAGAAAUGGAAUUCAAGAAAGUAACAACAUUCUCCUAGCCACAGAAAUGCGAAAUGAGAUACACAGACUGUUUGACUUUUGGCAAGACACAGGAAGAAGAGAUGGCUGCCAUAGAAGGAACAAGAAACAAGCUGACAUUUUAGCAAAUUCCUAAAGACUUAGCGUGGGCUGGUGUACCAGUGUGGUGUAACUCCCCUUGUAGACGCCCGGGGAGUUCUCACGCUCCAGCUCUUCUCCACCGGCCUUUAACAGGUGUUCACAAAGACUGAGGGCAGGGCAGGAGACCAGAGAGAGCGUCCCUCAGUAGCCCAGGUGUGUAGGAAAUGAUUUGAUGACACUGGAGAACAGGAAAAAAAAUGAUUGCGUGCUUCCCCCAACCUUUCUGUGAUACAAAGCAAAAGUGUUACGCCACUGGGGCAAAUGCAGCAAAAACAUGUCGCCUCCAGAGCUAAUCGGGGAGGGGUAGAUGGAAAACCCAUCUGCCUUGGGUGAGGGUAUAAAAGCUUCCUUCCUGGCCCCUAGGAACCAGGUAAAGACCCACUGCUUCUGGGGAAGGAUAGAAACAGAAGCCGUGCGCCUUAGAGGAGGGGCAAGAAAAUCUCUUGGCCCAGGAUCUUGCACCAGCACAAAGCAGAGGUGUGCUACUGAUGGGAAGGGACGGGAAAAUGGCUCCUGCCAGCAGUUCACACCAAUGGGAGACAGAGUUUACUGCCCUGCGGGGCAGGAGGAGGAAGGGGAAGAGGAGGAGAAAGGAGGAGCAGGAAUGCUGAGAGAUCCUGCCUGCAAGGCCAAGUGCACAGUCCUUGCCUAAGACCGAGGCUGGACCAGGAGAAUUGAGAAUCUGCUCCUGCUCCCCAGGAGCCUAGCACCAAGUAGCAAGCACCGGUGGUCUACCAUGGAAGAGGGGAAAUAACAGCAAAAAGACCCCCUCUGUGGUGCCAGCUUGCCGGGACUGCUGAAAUCUGACGGUGGAGCAGAAAUACGGAAAAACUACUCCAGGACCCAAGGCCUCCGACUAAGCUACAGGCGAAGAGAGCGCACCACCAGAGCAAUUUGAAGCCUGUGGUGCGCUGCAGCUCAUGACAGCAACAAUAAAACCCAAACUUAGCUUGGCUACCGAGGAGAUCGAAUCAGUUCCCCCACACGAAUGGCCUGACAGAAGAGGCACACCCAUUUCCAGAAGUCAACAUCGUUUACCUCAUCUCUACUGUUCUUCAAACACGAUGACUGGCGGUCAACGAAAAACGGUGAGAUACCAAACAGCAAGGAAAAAAAAGACCCAAUGUUUCGUUUUUGUUUUCCCCAGUUUUAUCGAGAUAUAAUUGACAUGUGAGGUUGCAUAAGUUUAAGGGGUACAACACAAUGAUUUGAUACAAGUAUAUGCUAUGAAAUGACUACCACAAUAUGUUUAGUUAACAUCCAUCACCUCUCAGACCUUUUUUUCCUGUGAUGAGAACUUUAAGAUCUACUCUGUUAGCAACUUUCAAACAUACAAUACAGUCAUGCAUCGCUUUACAACGCAGACACAUUCUAAGAAAUGCGUCAUUAGGCGAUUUGGUCGUUACGUGAACAUCAUGGCGUGUACUUACACACACCUAGAUGGUGUAGCCUACUACACACCUGGGCUGUAUGGUACUGAUCUUAUGGGACCAGCGUCGUAUAUGCGGGCUGUCAUUGACUGAAAGGUCAUUAUGAGGUGCGUGACCGUACAGUAUUAUUAACUACAGACACCAUGCUGGACAUUAUGUCCCCAGAAUUUAUCAGUCUUAGAACUGGAAGUUUGUACCUUUUGACCAUCUUCCCCCUUCUCUCAUUCCACCCCACCCCCCUACCCUUGCCCCCUGGCCUCUGGCAACUACCAAUCUGUUCUCUGUUUCUAUGAGACCCGUUGUUAAGAAAUAAAGCAAUCACGGAACUAGCUCAGAGAUGCUGGAAUUAUCACAAAGUGUCUUUAAAAUAACUGUGAUUAAUAUAUUAAAGGAACGAGUGGAAAAUUUGCAUGCAUGAGCAGAUGGGGAACUGACCGUUCAGAGGAAAGGAGGAUGGGGACUAGGAGAAUCCUUUGAACAGUUACAGGUCAUUCCUUGCAGCCGGC